CCUACGGGUGGCAGCAGUGGGGAAUAUUGCACAAUGGGCGCAAGCCUGAUGCAGCCAUGCCGCGUGUGUGAAGAAGGCCUUCGGGUUGUAAAGCACUUUCAGCGGGGAGGAAGGCGUUAAGGUUAAUAACCUUGGCGAUUGACGUUACCCGCAGAAGAAGCACCGGCUAACUCCGUGCCAGCAGCCGCGGUAAUACGGAGGGUGCAAGCGUUAAUCGGAAUUACUGGGCGUAAAGCGCACGCAGGCGGUCUGUCAAGUCGGAUGUGAAAUCCCCGGGCUCAACCUGGGAACUGCAUUCGAAACUGGCAGGCUAGAGUCUUGUAGAGGGGGGUAGAAUUCCAGGUGUAGCGGUGAAAUGCGUAGAGAUCUGGAGGAAUACCGGUGGCGAAGGCGGCCCCCUGGACAAAGACUGACGCUCAGGUGCGAAGGCGUGGGGAGCAAACAGGAUUAGAUACCCGGGUAGUC
This 465-nucleotide ribosomal RNA is filed under the name uncultured Klebsiella sp. RNAcentral describes it as "bacterial SSU rRNA". It matches the Rfam family "Bacterial small subunit ribosomal RNA", at positions 338 to 795 of the family's 1533-position model. The record is from RNAcentral. Lineage: Bacteria; Pseudomonadati; Pseudomonadota; Gammaproteobacteria; Enterobacterales; Enterobacteriaceae.